Molecule: long non-coding RNA, 1196 nt
Organism: Nilaparvata lugens (brown planthopper)
Lineage: Eukaryota; Metazoa; Arthropoda; Insecta; Hemiptera; Delphacidae
Exons: 3
Source: RefSeq, a predicted model, not a curated record
AGGAAGAAAAAAUUGAAGAAGGUCACAUGUUCCUGUUUGCUUUCACCGAGUCUCAAACAGAAUAUUUUCUGCUUGAGUUGUCAAUAUAGGACCCCUAAUAAUAAUUAUAAUCAAUCUCUUAUAAUCUUCUCUAUUAAUAAUUCAAAGUGCUAUUAAUAAAACAAUCAUCAUUGAAAUCAGCCAUCUGAUUUUUCUUGUAAGAUGAUAUCAUCUUGAGGCAGUAGAGAUGACGAAUCAAGUCUUGCCUGCGCUUUUCUUUUAGUCAUGUUAUCCCGAAACUAACUCUUGUAGCUUCAUUUUCUCUUUUUUCAUACAUUAUCGAACAAGAGUUCAUAAAGAGGAGUAGUAUAAUUUCUGCAGAGCUCCAUAUUGGAUUUAAAUCUUCAACUUCAAACAGAUAAACAGGAUGCAGUUCCGGUUUCCGAUUUUACUUCUAAUUGUGGCGUUGCUGAGUAUUGUCACUAUCUCGUCCGCAGCUCGUUCAAGAGAAAAUAUCAGGCCUAUGAGCAUUAUGAACAUGAAACCAAACUGUCCACAAGGAGCUUAUAAAGUUAACGGCCAAUGGAGAUGCAGAAAAUAACAGCAUUAUGGUACGCCCCUCUACAAUUCUAUUAGUGGAAGCCAGUUUCAAGGCCAGCAGAGGGGUCUACCACGUCAAACAAGAUCGACCAAUCAAAAGCGAGUAUUAUUUCGAUACAGGUGCCUAGUCCUAAUCCACGCCCACAACGCCCGCUCAUUGGCUGUCGCUGCUACAUCAUUGCAGAGAUUCCAUUUUCUUGAUCUACAUACUAUUGGAGUGAUGUGAUGUUUUUGCUUGAAUCUCAAUAAUAAUUAUUAUCCAUGAAGAGAGUUGAAGAUGGGUGAUACAUGUUAUGCUCGGUCUUCAUAAUUAUUAUUAUAUAAUAAAUGGAAUUUUAAAAAUGAAUAUUGGUUGAGAUUCUUUUUUGAAAUUUUGAAUGAUCUCGCAUAGAUUCUUGAAGAGAUUGAAAAAAGUGGAAUGAUAAUGAUAUUGUAGAUAUGAUUAUUUAUUAUAGAAUGAAUGAAAUUAAUUGAAUAAAACCCGAUUUUCAAACUUUUGGAUGUGACUACAUGUAGCUUCAUGUAACCAUGUGUAAUCUGUAACAUGCUAUUUGUUUUGUAAUUCUUUGUUAUUUUGUUUUGUGUGUUUUUAAUAAAUUGAAAUUGAAAUAUCUAAA